Molecule: ribosomal RNA, 570 nt
Filed under: Moesziomyces antarcticus
Lineage: Eukaryota; Fungi; Basidiomycota; Ustilaginomycetes; Ustilaginales; Ustilaginaceae
Description: eukaryotic LSU rRNA
Rfam family: Eukaryotic large subunit ribosomal RNA
Source: RNAcentral
AAAGACCCCCUUGUAAGCUGGCGUCUUCGGCGUCCGCAUUGUAAUCUCAAGAAGUGUUUUCCGCUUCGGACCAAGCCUAAGUCCCCUGGAAAGGGGCAUCAUAGAGGGUGAUAAUCCCGUACAUGGCUUGGAGCGCCCGAGGCUUUGUGAUACGCUUUCUAAGAGUCGAGUUGUUUGGGAAUGCAGCUCAAAAUGGGUGGUAAAUGCCAUCUAAGGCUAAAUAUUGGGGAGAGACCGAUAGCGAACAAGUACAGUGAUGGAAAGAUGAAAAGAACUUUGAAAAGAGAGUUAAACAGUACGUGAAAUUGCCAAAAGGGAAGGGUAGGAGGUCAGAGAUGCGGCCUGGGAUUCAGCCUUGCUUUUGCUUGGUGUUUUUCCCAGAUUGCAGGCCAACGUCGGUUUUGGGCACUGGAGAAGGGUAGGAGGAACGUGGCACCCCUCGGGGUGUGUUAUAGCCUCCUACUGGAUACAGCGACCGAGACCGAGGACAGCAGCGUACUCGCAAGAGCGGGCCUUCGGGCACCUUUACGCUUAGGGCGUUGGCAUAAUGGCCCUCUACCACCCGUCUUG